Transfer RNA from Actinoalloteichus hoggarensis, 74 nucleotides. It matches the Rfam family "tRNA". From Rfam's summary of the family: Transfer RNA (tRNA) molecules are approximately 80 nucleotides in length. Their secondary structure includes four short double-helical elements and three loops (D, anti-codon, and T loops). The record is from Rfam. NCBI's taxonomy places the organism in Bacteria, Bacillati, Actinomycetota, Actinomycetes, Pseudonocardiales, Pseudonocardiaceae.
GGGGCCGUGGCCCAAUUGGCAGAGGCACACGGUUUAGGUCCGUGCCAGUGUGGGUUCGAGUCCCACCGGCCCCA